RNAcentral lists this ribosomal RNA (491 nucleotides) under uncultured bacterium. RNAcentral describes it as "partial 16S ribosomal RNA". It matches the Rfam family "Bacterial small subunit ribosomal RNA", at positions 29 to 507 of the family's 1533-position model. The record is from RNAcentral.
GCGAACGCUGGCGGUAGGCCUAACACAUGCAAGUCGCACGGCAGCACAGUAAGCGCUUGCUCUUACGGGUGGCGAGUGGCGGACGGGUGAGGAAUACAUCGGAAUCUACUUUUUCGUGGGGGAUAACGUAGGGAAACUUACGCUAAUACCGCAUACGACCUACGGGUGAAAGCAGGGGAUCUUCGGACCUUGCGCGAUUGAAUGAGCCGAUGUCGGAUUAGCUAGUUGGCGGGGUAAAGGCCCACCAAGGCGACGAUCCGUAGCUGGUCUGAGAGGAUGAUCAGCCACACUGGAACUGAGACACGGUCCAGACUCCUACGGGAGGCAGCAGUGGGGAAUAUUGGACAAUGGGCGCAAGCCUGAUCCAGCCAUACCGCGUGGGUGAAGAAGGCCUUCGGGUUGUAAAGCCCUUUUGUUGGGAAAGAAAAGCAGCAGGUUAAUACCCAGCUGUUCUGACGGUACCCAAAGAAUAAGCACCGGCUAACUUCGUG